Homo sapiens (human) is the source of this 753-nucleotide long non-coding RNA. RefSeq lists it as uncharacterized. Lineage: Eukaryota; Metazoa; Chordata; Mammalia; Primates; Hominidae. The transcript is spliced from 3 exons. The record is from RefSeq and is a predicted model, not a curated record.
GGCUGCUCUUCCCCUUUCCCCCAAUGGUUUAUUUGCUAGAAGAGUCUUUUCCUACCAACUCUGAGCUUGAUGCAGACAGACAAGACACUUACCUGCUUUCGGUUUGAAGAUGUUCAGCUCAGAUUACCUGCAUCUAAGGACCAAAAUGUAAAUGCCAGGGCCAUUCUUCCAGGUCAGUUUGCAUCAGAACCAUGCAGGUUGCAUCUGUUGCUAGUUACAAGAGAGAGCUAGGCCCUUCUUCAGUUUAAGGUCUUAGGCGGGAUGCCAAAAUCUGCAUUUCCAGCAAGUUCCCAGAUGAUGGCCAGGCUACAUUGUGAGAACAUCACAAUAGAUCAUUCUUCGUCUUAGAGUGGAGCCAGGGCAAAAGAGGAAUUCAAGCUGGAACAAGGAGUCCGAGAAGACGCGACUGCUGGACAGAACAAGCGAUGAAGCCAGUCCCCAAACUGAUGAGCCCGCAGCUCCAUCCAAAUUAAAUGGGCUGAGAACACCAACACUCCACCCUCCCGGUACGAUUGCAUGGCAGGGAGGAACCAAAAAUAUUUUUCCUUCAUCUGCUAUCUCAGCUAAGCAGUACACUCUUUCUAGCACCUCACUAGAGUCCAGUUUUUCUGUAUUCUGUAUUCACAAUACAGGUUUAUUAUGAACUCUGAGCAGAUGAGGCUAUUUUUCCCCCUUUUGGUUUCUUAGUAACUAGGCAAAGUACAAGGCUCACGGUGGGUAUUUAAUAAAUACUUACUGACAACUUGCCUGCAA